This 451-nucleotide ribosomal RNA is filed under the name uncultured bacterium. RNAcentral's name for it is "bacterial SSU rRNA". It matches the Rfam family "Bacterial small subunit ribosomal RNA", at positions 28 to 524 of the family's 1533-position model. The record is from RNAcentral.
GACGAACGCUGGCGGCAGGCUUAACACAUGCAAGUCGAACGAACCCUUCGGGGUGAGUGGCAGACGGGUGCGUAACACGUGGGAACCUACCUUAUGGUACGGAAUAACAGCGAGAAAUCGCUGCUAAUACCGUAUGUGCCCUUCGGGGGAAAGAUUCAUCGCCAUAAGAUGGGCCCGCGGCAGAUUAGCUAGUUGGUGGGGUAAGAGCCUACCAAGGCUACGAUCUGUAGCUGGUCUGAGAGGAUGAUCAGCCACACUGGAACUGAGACACGGUCCAGACUCCUACGGGAGGCAGCAGUGGGGGAAUAUUGGACAAUGGGCGAAAGCCUGAUCCAGCCAUGCCGCGUGAGUGAUGAAGGCCUUAGGGUUGUAAAACUCUUUCGCUGGGGAAGAUAAUGACGGUACCCAGUAAAGAAGCCCCGGCUAAUUUCGUGCCAGCCGCCGCGGUAAU